This 431-nucleotide ribosomal RNA is filed under the name uncultured bacterium. RNAcentral's name for it is "partial 16S ribosomal RNA". It matches the Rfam family "Bacterial small subunit ribosomal RNA", at positions 29 to 507 of the family's 1533-position model. The record is from RNAcentral.
AACGAACGCUGGCGGCAGGCCUAACACAUGCAAGUCGAGCGCGCCUUCGGGUGAGCGGCGGACGGGUGAGUACCGCGUGGGAAUAUGCCCUUCUCUACGGAAUAGUCCUGGGAAACUGGGGGUAAUACCGUAUACGCCCUUUGGGGGAAAGAUUUAUCGGGGAAGGAUUAGCCCGCGUUGGAUUAGGUAGUUGGUGGGGUAAUGGCCUACCAAGCCGACGAUCCAUAGCUGGUUUGAGAGGAUGAUCAGCCACACUGGGACUGAGACACGGCCCAGACUCCUACGGGAGGGAGCAGGUGGGAAUCUUAGACCAUGGGGGCAACCCUGAUCUAGCCAUGCCGCGUGAGUGAUGAAGGCCUUAGGGUUGUAAAGCUCUUUCAGCUGGGAAGAUAAUGACGGUACCAGCAGAAGAAGCCCCGGCUAACUCCGUG